UGGAUGGUUCUUUUGCUUGAGAUUGAUUGUGCAUGAUACUUGCAGAUCUAAAGGUGCACUGGUGCUGUGGUGAUAACAAGGGGCAAGUAUCAUCCACCAAAUGCGUCAACUGAUGGUGAAAAGCCAUUAUAUCUUCAUAUUUCUGCAGGGGCUAAUGAACCAAGCACAUGUGUAUAUCUGGGCUUCGAUGCAGAUCCAUCACUGAACAUUGCUACUUGUAUACGUGGACCAAGUCCGUCAAUCGGUGUUGUUAUAUAUAUAUAUUUAUAGUGGGCGGUAAAGGAUCGGAAAGGGUAUACCCAACAACUUGACGAGGUCCGCAUUGAAGAAAAACAUUACGUUACUAUGGAAAGGAUUGUCAGGUGUAAUGGGGGUUGCUUAUAUUCAAGAAGUUGGGAAAGCCAGCCUCUUUUUUGAGUUAGGCUAGCUUUUAAUUAACAUUUUUGUAGCAAUUAUGAACAAACAUGAAUACUAAUUGCUAGGCUAGCCUUGUAGUAGGUGAAUUGGGGUUUUAUUUUGCCCAUUUUGUAAAAUGUUAAGGAUGAUGAUUUCAGAUAUAAUAGCCCAAUAUUCAAAUCA
Molecule: long non-coding RNA, 579 nt
Organism: Rosa rugosa (rugosa rose)
Lineage: Eukaryota; Viridiplantae; Streptophyta; Magnoliopsida; Rosales; Rosaceae
Exons: 5
Source: RefSeq, a predicted model, not a curated record